This 261-nucleotide long non-coding RNA is filed under the name Lepidothrix coronata (blue-crowned manakin). Its description in RNAcentral is "lncRNA (ENSLCOG00000006858.1)". The record is from RNAcentral. Lineage: Eukaryota; Metazoa; Chordata; Aves; Passeriformes; Pipridae.
GCACUGGGCAUCCCAAAGGGGUUUCCUGCUGUCGGGCAGCACCCUGGGCACAGGGAUGUGGGCAGGGCAGGGGAGGAAGCCGGACACGUCACGGCGCGUCACCCGGCACGGGGAAGCCCUCACCGCAACCGGAUGCGGAGGGUGACUGCUGGAAGCCAGCCUUAAGUGCUUCUGUGCCUGGAACACGGCAGAAUGUCAACAGCCCACCAGGGUGAGAAGCCACCUGCAGGGAUGGAGCCGUGGACAGUGACGCCUCCAGGA